GACGAACGCUGGCGGCGCGCCUAACACAUGCAAGUCGAACGGAGCUUAGAGAGCUUGCUUUUUAAGCUUAGUGGCGAACGGGUGAGUAACGCGUGAGUAACCUGCCCUAGAGUGGGGGACAACAGUUGGAAACGAUUGCUAAUACCGCAUAAGCCCACGGUACCGCAUGGCACUGAGGGAAAAGGAUUUAUUCGCUUUAGGAUGGACUCGCGUCCAAUUAGCUAGUUGGUGAGGUAACGGCCCACCAAGGCGACGAUUGGUAGCCGGACUGAGAGGUUGAACGGCCACAUUGGGACUGAGACACGGCCCAGACUCCUACGGGAGGCAGCAGUGGGGGAUAUUGCACAAUGGGGGAAACCCUGAUGCAGCGACGCCGCGUGGAGGAAGAAGGUUUUCGGAUUGUAAACUCCUGUCGUUAGGGACGAUAAUGACGGUACCUAACAAGAAAGCACCGGCUAACUACGUGCCAGCAGCCGCGGUAAAACGUAGGGUGCAAGCGUUGUCCGGAAUUACUGGGUGUAAAGGGAGCGCAGGCGGGAAGACAAGUUGGAAGUGAAAACCAUGGGCUCAACCCAUGAAUUGCUUUCAAAACUGUUUUUCUUGAGUAGUGCAGAGGUAGAUGGAAUUCCCGGUGUAGCGGUGGAAUGCGUAGAUAUCGGGAGGAACACCAGUGGCGAAGGCGGUCUACUGGGCACCAACUGACGCUGAGGCUCGAAAGCAUGGGUAGCAAACAGGAUUAGAUACCCUGGUAGUCCAUGCCGUAAACGAU
RNAcentral lists this ribosomal RNA (769 nucleotides) under uncultured bacterium. RNAcentral describes it as "bacterial SSU rRNA". It matches the Rfam family "Bacterial small subunit ribosomal RNA", at positions 28 to 810 of the family's 1533-position model. The record is from RNAcentral.